This 1732-nucleotide ribosomal RNA is filed under the name uncultured ciliate. RNAcentral describes it as "SSU rRNA". It matches the Rfam family "Eukaryotic small subunit ribosomal RNA". The record is from RNAcentral. Lineage: Eukaryota; Ciliophora.
UAACCUGGUUGAUCCUGCCAGUAGUCAUAUGCUUGUCUUAAAGGUUUAUCCAUGCAUGUGUAAGUAUAAGUAUUGUACAGCGAAACUGCGAAUGGCUCAUUACAUCAGUUAUAAUUUAUUUGAUAAUCGAAAGUUACAUGGAUAACCGUGACAAAUUACAGCUAAUACAUGCAGUCAGACCUGGUCCAAGGGUCGUAAUUAUUAGUAUUAAACCAUUUCCGCAAGGAGUGUGAUGAUUCAUAAUAAUCGAACGAAUCGCCUGGUGUGCGAUAAAUCAUUCAAGUUUCUGCCCUAUCAGCUUUGGAUGGUAGUGUAUUGGACUACCAUGGCAGUCACGGGUAACGGAGAAUUAGGGUUCGAUUCCGGAGAGGGAGCCUGAGAAACGGCUACUACAUCUACGGAAGGCAGCAGGAGCGAAAAUUGCCCAAUCCCGACACGGGGAGGCAGUGACGAGAAAUAACAACUCUUGGUUAUUCUAAGAAGUGUAAUGAGGAUAAUUUAAAACCCUUACCGAAAGCAAUUGGAGGGCAAGUCUGGUGCCAGCAGCCGCGGUAAUUCCAGCUCCAAUAGCGUAUAUUAAAGUUGUUGCAGUUAAAAAGCUCGUAGUUGAAGUUCUGGCUGCUCGACCCUCGAGCUCUGUAGCCGAGGGCUCGGCAGUCAUCCGCUUGCAAACAUAUGUUCGCCUUUAACCGGGCGGCUAUGUGAGCAAGCAUUUUACCUUGAGAAAAACAGAGUGUUCCAGGCAGGUUUGCCCGGAAUGCAUUAGCAUGGAAUAAUAGAAUAUGACUGAAGUCGAUUUAUUGGUUUGAGGCUUUAGUAAUGAUUAAUAGGAACAGUCGGGGGCAUUGGUACUUGUCAGUCAGAGGUGAAAUUCUAGGAUUUGACAAAGACUAACAAAUGCGAAAGCAUUUGCCAAGGAUGUUUUCAUUAAUCAAGAACGAAAGUUAGGGGAUCAAAGACGAUCAGAUACCGUCCUAGUCUUAACUAUAAACUAUACCGACUCGGAUUCAGAUGAAUCAUAAAGUUCAUUUGGGACCGUAGGAGAAAUCAAAGUUUUUGGGUUCUGGGGGAAGUAUGGUCGCAAGGCUGAAACUUAAAGGAAUUGACGGUUUUGCACCACCAUGGAGUGGAGUCUGCGGCUUAAUUUGACUCAACACUGGGAAACUCAUCAGGGCAAGAAGAUUGUAGGAUUGACAGAUUGAGAGUUCUUUCUUGAUUGGUCUAGUGGUGGUGCAUGGCCGUUCUUAAUUGGUGGAGUGAUUUGUCUGGUUAAUUCCGUUAACGAACGAGACCUUAACCUGCUAACUAGUAUAUCGAUGACAAAUCGAUAUUACUUCUUAGAGGGACUAUGUGAUGUAAUCACAUGGAAGUUUGAGGCAAUAACAGGUCUGUGAUGCCCUUAGAUGUCCUGAGCUGCACGCGUACUACAAUGGUGCUUUCAACGAGCUUUUCCUGAUCCGAAAGGAUUUGGGUAAUCUUUUUAGUGAGCACCGUGUUUGGGAUAGAUCUUUGUAAUUAUGGAUCUUGAACUAGGAAUUCCUAGUAAGCGCGCGUCAUCAGCGCGUGCUGAUUACGUCCCUGCAAAAUGUACACACCGCCCGUCGCUAUUACCGAUUGAGUGUAAAGGUGAACCUUCUCGAUAGACGCAAGUUUAAAAAUUAAGUAAACCUUUGCACUUAGAGGAAAUAAAAGUCGUAACAAGGUUUCCGUAGGUGAACCUGCAGAAGGAUCA